RNAcentral lists this unclassified non-coding RNA (345 nucleotides) under soil metagenome. RNAcentral's name for it is "partial contains 5.8S ribosomal RNA, internal transcribed spacer 2, and large subunit ribosomal RNA". The stretch from base 1 to 120 matches the Rfam family "5.8S ribosomal RNA", at positions 35 to 154 of the family's 154-position model. The record is from RNAcentral.
GAUGAAGAACGCAGCGAAAUGCGAUAAGUAAUGUGAAUUGCAGAAUUCAGUGAAUCAUCGAAUCUUUGAACGCACAUUGCGCCCCCUGGUAUUCCGGGGGGCAUGCCUGUCCGAGCGUCAUUGCUGCCCUCAAGCACGGCUUGUGUGUUGGGCCUCCGUCCUCCUCCCGGGGGACGGGCCCGAAAGGCAGCGGCGGCACCGCGUCCGGUCCUCGAGCGUAUGGGGCUUCGUCACCCGCUCUUGUAGGCCCGGCCGGCGCUUGCCGACACAUCAAUCUUUUUUCCAGGUUGACCUCGGAUCAGGUAGGGAUACCCACUGAACUUAAGCAUAUCAAUAAGCGGAGGA